This 498-nucleotide ribosomal RNA is filed under the name uncultured bacterium. Its description in RNAcentral is "partial 16S ribosomal RNA". It matches the Rfam family "Bacterial small subunit ribosomal RNA", at positions 29 to 507 of the family's 1533-position model. The record is from RNAcentral.
ACGAACGCUGGCGGCGUGCCUAAUACAUGCAAGUCGAGCGGACCAAACAGGAGCUUGCUCUUGUUUGGUUAGCGGCGGACGGGUGAGUAACACGUGGGUAACCUGCCCGUAAGACCGGGAUAACUCCGGGAAACCGGAGCUAAUACCGGAUAACACCGAAGACCGCAUGGUCUUUGGUUGAAAGGCGGCUUCGGCUGCCACUUACGGAUGGGCCCGCGGCGCAUUAGCUAGUUGGUGAGGUAACGGCUCACCAAGGCGACGAUGCGUAGCCGGCCUGAGAGGGUGACCGGCCACACUGGGGCUGAGACACGGCCCAGACUCCUACGGGAGGCAGCAGUAGGGAAUCUUCCGCAAUGGACGAAAGUCUGACGGAGCGACGCCGCGUGAGCGAAGAAGGUCUUCGGAUCGUAAAGCUCUGUUGUUAGGGAAGAAGAAGCGCCGUUCGAACAGGGCGGCGCGGUGACGGUACCUAACGAGAAAGCCCCGGCUAACUACGUG